GAUGGGGUGGCCGAGGUUAGGUAAUAAAUUGUAAAUUUAUGGACGAAAGUUAAUUUCUCUCAUCA
This 65-nucleotide transfer RNA is filed under the name Bruchidius siliquastri. RNAcentral describes it as "tRNA-Tyr". It matches the Rfam family "tRNA". From Rfam's summary of the family: Transfer RNA (tRNA) molecules are approximately 80 nucleotides in length. The record is from RNAcentral. Lineage: Eukaryota; Metazoa; Arthropoda; Insecta; Coleoptera; Chrysomelidae.